CUGUGUUUAUUUAACAGUGUGAGGUACAUGUAAUCAGCACUGGUUAAAAGGAGUUGAACAUCACAACAGCAAAAAGCAUUGUCACCAUUACAUCAGACACUGUACAGUACAAGGAGCAAAAGCUUCACAGAAGAGAUUAAAAAAACAACACCAUGGUGUUUAUUUACAACACAAGGUACCUACACACUGAAUGUCAACUAUUCAAAUAUUGAGGGAUUCUGUUAUUGUACAGUGUAAAGAUAUAAUGCAUGAAACACUCCCCUAUGGAAACCUAGUGAUCAGAGUUGUAAAACACAAUAAUGAUUUGCAUUAGUGUAGGGCCAUGGCUUAACUAAGUCUGUAUAUUUCACCAGGCUUCUGAUAUGAUGGUGCCAAUAUUGCAUCAUAUCACAAGCAAUAUAAUCAGUUAUUACAGGCAUUUGUAGACUAGAAAGAUAUUUAAAAGAUGUAAAGGACCCAUGCUUUUGGUAGUUAAAUCCAGCCCUACCUAGUUAGUCCCUGGAGUUCAGAUACACUAAAGAGAUAUCAAAAUAUUAUGCUGUUUACACAAUAACACACACUCACACCGUUUCAGAAUACAUACAAGAGAAGUGGGCUCACUUUGUAAAACAUAUGGCUUUUGUACUGGCACAUAAAAACCAUAGAGAACCUGGUUCAUGGUUACACUAGCAGACAGAAAACCAACAAAAAUACUUUAACAAUAUGCCAGGAUAAACAUCAGAUAUGCAUAAACUUGGCAGACAUAAAUAUACAUUGUGUAGUGUUUUUGAUCAAAUAAAACAAGAGGAACACAACAGCAAUAAACGUAUGUAGUACAAGUAAAGGAAAAGGGGGUCAUGUCAUAGACUACAUUUUUGUAGCACCUCAAAUAAAAUUAAAACCUACGAAAACUGCUUUCACAGCUGCAAAGGCAAUAAUUCACUAUAAUAAUAAAAAAUAAUUGUGAAUUCCUGCCCCUUGGCUCUUAAUCAUACCCUCUGUGUUCAACAUAAAAGGAGCUAAGUAGCCAUAAUGUGUAUAUAGUGCAAUUAUGACUGCAAGGUCAAACUGCUUCAUUACACCAUCCAGUUAUUGAUAAUGGCAGUUUCUGAGUAGCUUGACUUUGUGCGCCAUAUGUGCUGUGCUGAAGGAGUGAAAUGGCUAUACAACCAAAUGCACAACAAUAGUUUUUAACAUUUAGACUCUGAUCUGUACACUGACAACCAAGAACAAUAGAAAUCUAAAUUUGACAGAAUACAGCCUACAGGGACUGAACUAUUCAAAGUAUUAUACUAUUAAGUGCUAUCAGAAUUUAUUACUCAUUUAUUUAAAUAUAAAGUUGACACUUUGUUCAGUGAGUGCCACUAAUUCUCCUUGCUACAGUCAAACUCUCCUCCCCAAUGCCAACUAGUUGGUUCAAUUUCCCCUCAGCCAAAGGAAGCACUACACAAUGAUGUGACCUUAACCAGAAAUCUGCAACACUGCAUCUGCAAUUCCCACCUACACACAAAAACACUGAGAUGCGGAUGCAUGACUCAUCUGAAUAUGCUUAUAUAUUAAAAAAUCAACUAUGUGAAUCUAAAACCCUGAAUACACAAGAUCCAAUGAAGAGCUAAAAUCCUCACCACACAAGUGACAAAAAAACUGGAUAAAAAAAUAAAACCUGCCAAACAAGCAAAACCCUGCAAAGAUCGUUUCCUGUUCCAACAUGUAGAACAAGUUUCCCUCCUUUGUUGAAGAAUUUAUAGGCGAAUCAAAGAAGAAAGCAGGGAGUGUUGGGAUUUGGAAAGGAGUUAAGUUACCCCAGGAUUCAGAGGAGCCCAUGCCUACAGAAAGAUGGCAGAGACUGCUCUUUGAAAAUCCUCAGGCUCUACCAGCAGUGAAUGGAUGGGGGAAAAAAAAAAAUCACACUGCUGGAAAGAAGAGUUUGAAGAGCCCUUUCUCUCACCUGUACUUUUGUUUUGUGCCACCUCUUUACUUGGCACUUCCAGCUCUAGCGCUUGAUCACCACUUGUUCAUAGGCACCAGCACCAACCCUGUAACAUUUAAAAAGGAAACAUCAGAACUGAAACAGGGCUGAUGUAAGAUAUAAAACAUGUUCAGUAGAAC
Molecule: long non-coding RNA, 2088 nt
Organism: Ictalurus punctatus (channel catfish)
Lineage: Eukaryota; Metazoa; Chordata; Actinopteri; Siluriformes; Ictaluridae
Source: Ensembl